RNAcentral lists this long non-coding RNA (1055 nucleotides) under Bemisia tabaci. Its description in RNAcentral is "lncRNA ENSSSA2NGG009876". The record is from RNAcentral. Lineage: Eukaryota; Metazoa; Arthropoda; Insecta; Hemiptera; Aleyrodidae.
UGGGUACCUAAAGGUACCCAUAAGCUGACCUUAUUAUAGGAAAAAGUGAGCUUAGUAAAAUACAAGGUUGCUGUAUCGUUGAAACUCUGCUUUAUCUGGCUUGAACUUGCUCAGUAAUGCUUUGCCAAAGUCGGAAUAGUCGGGUUAAUGAGGACGGGACGUUGAAAUGAGGACUGGAAAGCAAUUUUUAGUAAUUGUUUGACAUCAUGCGUCCAAUAUUUUAUGUAGAUUUUUGGCGAGGAAUUAUAAAAAUCCUUUGAAUGCUGCAAUCUGGCAAUGUGAAAGGAGGAACUACUGAGGCCUCCGAAACAAAGAGUACUCUACUCGUGAUAAGAGAACGCGUAGCGAAUUUUUAUGUUGAGCGAGUCCUCUUGAGUCAGCUGAUCACUGUUGUGUUUGGGUUUUCGUUCGCGAUCCGUCUCAGUAUUCGUCAAUAUGGGAAAGAGCUUUUUUGUCGCAAAUUAAAGUUAAAUAACGAGGUGUUUUUCGGGUCUCAUAUUGCCACUCGUCAGAUCUGAUUAUUUCAAAUAACUAUUUGCAGUUCGCGAUAGCUUCCAGUUAUUGUUAUUCAUCUGUGAUACACUUUCGUCCGAGCCUUUUGUUGUCAAUUUAUCAGCUCCAAGAACCUGUACAAGCGCCAAGGUCGCUACGGAGUUCGUACGCAAUACAAAGCAGUUUUCGAUUAUUUUGAAUUUUAUAAACUUUAGAUGCUCAAGUGCUAACACUAAAUUUAAAACAGACCAAUGAACGUGACAAAUUACAGGACUGAUGCCAAUAAUGUCGUUAAUUUCGUUAAUUUUAAUCAGGAUUGCACGUCAUUAGCUGUGGGCACAAAAACAGGGUACAAACUUUUCUCUCUCAACUCUGUGGACACCCUAGAACAAAUUUAUGAAAUGGUAAGUAUCUUCAAAGUUGAGACCUACCUACUUUUUGUGUGUUUCGUCCCGAUAAUUUUUUUCAGAUUUCAGUUAACCAUGAUAAUUUUGGAACUUUCUCAGUCCAUCAUUUGGGUCUUCGCUAAAUGCAACAGCAAAGCAUAUAUUUGUCAAAAGUAA